CCACCAGACUCCUACGGGAGGCAGCAGUGGGGAAUAUUGCACAAUGGGGGAAACCCUGAUGCAGCGACGCCGCGUGAGUGAAGAAGUAAUUCGUUCUGUAAAGCUCUAUCAGCAGGGAAGAAAAUGACGGUACCUGAGUAAGAAGCCCCGGCUAACUACGUGCCAGCAGCCGCGGUAAUACGUAGGGGGCAAGCGUUAUCCGGAUUUACUGGGUGUAAAGGGAGCGUAGACGGCAGUGCAAGUCCGGAGUGAAAGCCCGGGGCUCAACCCUGGGACUGCUCUGGAAACUGUAAAGCUGGAGUGCGGGAGGGGCAGGCGGAAUUCCUGGUGUAGCGGUGAAAUGCGUAGAUAUCAGGAGGAACACCGGCGGCGAAGGCGGCCUGCUGGACCGUAACUGACGUUGAGGCUCGAAAGCGUGGGGAGCAAACAGGAUUAGAUACCCCCGUA
RNAcentral lists this ribosomal RNA (447 nucleotides) under uncultured bacterium. RNAcentral describes it as "bacterial SSU rRNA". It matches the Rfam family "Bacterial small subunit ribosomal RNA", at positions 328 to 792 of the family's 1533-position model. The record is from RNAcentral.